CCUACGGGAGGCAGCAGUGAGGAAUAUUGGUCAAUGGACGAGAGUCUGAACCAGCCAAGUAGCGUGAAGGAUGACUGCCCUAUGGGUUGUAAACUUCUUUUAUAUGGGAAUAAAACGUUCCACGUGUGGGAUUUUGUAUGUACCAUAUGAAUAAGGAUCGGCUAACUCCGUGCCAGCAGCCGCGGUAAUACGGAGGAUCCGAGCGUUAUCCGGAUUUAUUGGGUUUAAAGGGAGCGUAGGUGGAUUGUUAAGUCAGUUGUGAAAGUUUGCGGCUCAACCGUAAAAUUGCAGUUGAAACUGGCAGUCUUGAGUACAGUAGAGGUGGGCGGAAUUCGUGGUGUAGCGGUGAAAUGCUUAGAUAUCACAAAGAACUCCGAUUGCGAAGGCAGUUCACUGGACUGCAACUGACACUGAGGCUCGAAAGUGUGGGUAUCAAACAGGAUUAGAUACCCCUGUAGUC
Molecule: ribosomal RNA, 460 nt
Filed under: uncultured bacterium
Lineage: Bacteria
Description: partial 16S ribosomal RNA
Rfam family: Bacterial small subunit ribosomal RNA
Source: RNAcentral